Molecule: ribosomal RNA, 576 nt
Filed under: Apiospora arundinis
Lineage: Eukaryota; Fungi; Ascomycota; Sordariomycetes; Amphisphaeriales; Apiosporaceae
Description: Arthrinium arundinis partial large subunit ribosomal RNA
Rfam family: Eukaryotic large subunit ribosomal RNA
Source: RNAcentral
CAGGUAUUUCCCUAGUACGGCGAGUGAAGCGGGACAGCUCAAAUUUGAAAUCUGGCCCUUGGGUCCGAGUUGUAAUUAGCAGAGGAUGCUUUUGGUGCGGGGCCUUCCGAGUUCCCUGGAACGGGACGCCUUAGAGGGUGAGAGCCCCGUACGGUUGGCCACCAAGCCUGUGUAAAGCUCCUUCUACGAGUCGAGUAGUUUGGGAAUGCUGCUCAAAAUGGGAGGUAUAUUUCUUCUAAAGCUAAAUACUGGCCAGAGACCGAUAGCGCACAAGUAGAGUGAUCGAAAGAUGAAAAGCACUUUGAAAAGAGGGUUAAAUAGCACGUGAAAUUGUUGAAAGGGAAGGAUUUAUGACCAGACUUUUUCUGGGGGGAUCAUCCGGUGUUCUCACCGGUGCACUUCCCCCAGUUGAGGCCAGCAUCGGUUUCUGCCGGGGGAUAAAAGCUUUGGGAAUGUGGCUCCUUCGGGAGUGUUAUAGCCCGUUGCAUAAUACCCUGGCGGGGACCGAGGUUCGCGCAUUGCAAGGAUGCUGGCGUAAUGGUUAUUAAUCACCCGUCUUGAAACACGGACCAACCA